UGAUCUUUGAAGAUGCAAGUGCGCAACCGAGUCAUAGAAGUUUUCGGAUAUUGGAGCAAACCAAAGCAAAUCUAGCACCGCUCUGUAGUCACUUCCCCACGAGUUCGUCGGUGCAUCAAUAGGUAACAAUGAACUUAAGAUCCAGCUCGCUGAUCUGCCACAGGGUGCAUGUGGUCUUGUUCUCGAAUGUCUGGCCGGAGGCACAACAUAUCAAAUCAAGCACAUAGCAAAUAAGCUUGCUUACAAAGUCGUGGUACAGCUUGCGUUGGAGAUUUUGCCAGACGAUUGAGCUAUCUACACUCGAAAAUGAUCAUGUACCAUGGUGUCGAAAAUGCCUGAUAAUAUGUUGUUUGAUACCGAAGGAAACCUUAAAAUUUAUGAUUUUUGUGUCCCUCGUGUCGAGGCUGAAAAUCCAAAAGAGAUGAUAGGCGCGACGGGACACCCGGUGUGAAUUUCUUUGAGAAUCACGGAGUGUGAAAUGUUUUUCCCUGAGAAUACAGAUCCUGGAUUUAUUUUGUUUAUUUUUGAGUAAAUUGUUUUUUA
Molecule: long non-coding RNA, 543 nt
Organism: Brachypodium distachyon (stiff brome)
Lineage: Eukaryota; Viridiplantae; Streptophyta; Magnoliopsida; Poales; Poaceae
Exons: 3
Source: RefSeq, a predicted model, not a curated record